This 761-nucleotide ribosomal RNA is filed under the name uncultured bacterium. RNAcentral describes it as "bacterial SSU rRNA". It matches the Rfam family "Bacterial small subunit ribosomal RNA", at positions 29 to 769 of the family's 1533-position model. The record is from RNAcentral.
ACGAACGCUGGCGGCGUGCCUAACGCAUGCAAGUCGAGCGGGGAUGCUAAGUGGAGAGGGGGAACUCUUGAAGCUUAGCAUCUUAGCGGCGGACGGGUGAGUAACACGUGAGCAACCUACCCUCAGCACGGGGAUAACAGCUCGAAAGGGCUGCUAAUACCCGAUGGGACCACGUCAUUGCAUGGUGAUGUGGUGAAAGGGUGGACGUAAGGUCCAUGCCGGCUGGGGAUGGGCUCGCGGCCCAUCAGCUAGUUGGUGGGGUAACGGCCUACCAAGGCGACGACGGGUAGCCGGCCUGAGAGGGUGACCGGCCACAGUGGGGCUGAGACACGGCCCACACUCCUACGGGAGGCAGCAGCGGGGAAUCUUGCGCAAUGGGCGAAAGCCUGACGCAGCGACGCCGCGUGAGGGAAGGAGCCCUUCGGGGUGUAAACCUCUUUGGACGGGGAGAAGUAGGAGAUAGUACCCGUUUAAAAAGCCACGGCUAACUACGUGCCAGCAGCCGCGGUAAUACGUAGGUGGCGAGCGUUGUCCGGAAUUACUGGGCGUAAAGGGUGCGUAGGCGGCCUGGUAAGUUGAGCGUGAAAUUUUUGGGCUCAACCCAAAAGGAGCGUUCAAGACUGCCAGGCUUGAGUGCGGGAGAGGACGGCGGAAUUUCCCGGGUGUAGCGGUGAAAUGCGUAGAUAUCGGGAGGAACACCAGGUGGCGAAAGGCGGCCGUCUGGACCGUAACUGACGCUGAGGCACGAAAGCGUGGGGAGC